Hevea brasiliensis (rubber tree) is the source of this 413-nucleotide long non-coding RNA. RefSeq lists it as uncharacterized. The record is from RefSeq and is a predicted model, not a curated record. NCBI's taxonomy places the organism in Eukaryota, Viridiplantae, Streptophyta, Magnoliopsida, Malpighiales, Euphorbiaceae. The transcript is spliced from 2 exons.
GCAAAAAUGAUCAAUUAUAAGGACUAAAUUGAAAUUUUACAUAUUGUGAUGAAUGAUUGAUUUGAUGGGCCCAGGAGGGGCUGUGUGAUGUGAUUGAGUUGUGGAUAUAUGGAUUGUGGAUAUAGAAGUGUGUUUUGAGCCCUUUUUGCAGGUUGGGUAGGUCCUAGGUAUAGGGGAGACUGCCGGAUUUUCGGCACGACUUAGGACGUAUUGGGUCUUUUCUUGAUUUGUAUUGGGUCAUUUGUAUUAAAUAAUUGUAAUAUAAUUGUCAGGUGAGCCGGGACAGCCUUCUUCCUCCGCCCAGCCGCCACAGUGAUUGCCGUCAAGUCUGCCACAGGAGGAUAUUUUUUUGAGGUUAACCUGCUUUCUCCCUCGCAGGUCAAUUAUUACUGUUUGUAUAAACUUGUUAAAUC